UACGUAGGCAGCGAGCGUUGUUCGGAGUUACUGGGCGUAAAGCGUGCGUAGGCGGUGUCUUAAGUUUGUUGUGAAAUCUCCCGGCUCAACUGGGAGGGUGCGCCGAAUACUGCGCGACUAGAGUGCGGGAGAGGAAAGUGGAAUUCCUGGUGUAGCGGUGAAAUGCGUAGAUAUCAGGAGGAACACCGGUGGUGUAGACGGCUUUCUGGACCGUAACUGACGCUGAGACACGAAAGCGUGGGUAGCAAACAGG
This 253-nucleotide ribosomal RNA is filed under the name uncultured bacterium. RNAcentral's name for it is "partial 16S ribosomal RNA". It matches the Rfam family "Bacterial small subunit ribosomal RNA", at positions 524 to 776 of the family's 1533-position model. The record is from RNAcentral.